GUCAUUUUUCGUGUUGCUCUUGCCAAGACACAACCAUUGAUUCAAGUGUUUCUCAAGUUUUCCUCGUUGUUGCUGAUACGAAGUUACGGACUUGUGGCUUGGUUCAUCGUGUUUUUCAGAAACGAGUUUGCUUAAUGUAUUUUG
Molecule: long non-coding RNA, 144 nt
Organism: Venturia canescens
Lineage: Eukaryota; Metazoa; Arthropoda; Insecta; Hymenoptera; Ichneumonidae
Exons: 2
Source: RefSeq, a predicted model, not a curated record